GACAGAGGCGCCGAGCGUUAGGCGGAAUCACUGGGCUUAAAGCGUGUGUAGGCGGAUCUGUAAGUACCUUGUGAAAUCCCACGGCUCAACCGUGGAACUGCUUGGUAUACUGCGGGUCUUGAGCCACCUAGGGGCAAGUGGAACAAACGGUGGAGCGGUGAAAUGCGUAGAUAUCGUGUGGACCGCCAAUGGUGAAAACAGCUUGCUGGGAGUGUGCUGACGCUGAGACACGAAAGCCAGGGGAGCAAACGGG
RNAcentral lists this ribosomal RNA (253 nucleotides) under uncultured bacterium. RNAcentral's name for it is "partial 16S ribosomal RNA". It matches the Rfam family "Bacterial small subunit ribosomal RNA", at positions 524 to 776 of the family's 1533-position model. The record is from RNAcentral.